CCGGCGACCGGCGCACGGUGAGUAACACGUAUGGAACCUGCCCGCAGCAAGGGGGAGUAAGCGGAAGAAAUUCCGUCUAAUACCGCGUAACAACGUUGGGAGGCAUCUCCCGAUGUUUAAAGAUUUAUCGGCUGCGGAUGGCCAUGCGGCGCAUUAGCUAGUCGGCGGGGUAACGGCCCACCGAGGCGACGAUGCGUAGGGGUUCUGAGAGGAAGGUCCCCCCACACUGGUACUGAGACACGGACCAGACUCCUACGGGAGGCAGCAG
RNAcentral lists this ribosomal RNA (268 nucleotides) under uncultured bacterium. RNAcentral's name for it is "partial 16S ribosomal RNA". It matches the Rfam family "Bacterial small subunit ribosomal RNA", at positions 88 to 354 of the family's 1533-position model. The record is from RNAcentral.